Long non-coding RNA from Thunnus maccoyii (southern bluefin tuna), 297 nucleotides. RefSeq lists it as uncharacterized. The transcript is spliced from 3 exons. The record is from RefSeq and is a predicted model, not a curated record. NCBI's taxonomy places the organism in Eukaryota, Metazoa, Chordata, Actinopteri, Scombriformes, Scombridae.
AGAAACUUCACUAGAGAGCAGCGAAAAGACAGAAAGGACAGAGAGAGAAAAAGUGACAAAUUAGAGACGUCGUUAUCCAGGAACUGAUCACAUGUUCAUACCAGCUGUAAGCAGGGAAAGAACAGAGAAGACGGAGGGGAACGCCCACCAGAUGAGACGGGAUGUCGGCGAAGAUGCGCGGCAGCUGUUUUCCUGCCUCCAGGUCGGGCCGGGGCCGGGGGAUCUGCACGUCGCCCAGUGUUUUUUGCGUCGGGCCUCCUCCUGGGCGAUGCGCUGUUCGAUGGCCGCCAGGGAGUC